RNAcentral lists this ribosomal RNA (327 nucleotides) under uncultured Acidobacteriota bacterium. RNAcentral describes it as "bacterial SSU rRNA". It matches the Rfam family "Bacterial small subunit ribosomal RNA", at positions 32 to 351 of the family's 1533-position model. The record is from RNAcentral. Lineage: Bacteria; Pseudomonadati; Acidobacteriota.
AAUCAACGCUGGCGGCGUGCCUAACACAUGCAAGUCGAACGAGAAAGUGGGGGCAACCCCGCGAGUAAAGUGGCAGACGGGUGAGUAACACGUGAGCAAUCUGCCCUCGAGUAGGGAAUAACCUCGCGAAAGCGGGGCUAAUACCGUAUGAGUUCCCCGGGUCGCAUGGCUUGGGGAUUAAAGGCUUCGGCCGCUCGAGGAGGAGCUCGCGCCUGAUUAGCUAGUUGGUGAGGUAACGGCCCACCAAGGCAACGAUCAGUAGCCGGCCUGAGAGGGCGCACGGCCACACUGGAACUGCGACACGGUCCAGACUCCUACGGGAGGCUG